GAUGAAGAACGUAGCGAAAUGCGAUAAGUAGUGUGAAUUGCAGAAUUCAGUGAAUCAUCGAAUCUUUGAACGCACAUUGCGCCCUUUGGUAUUCCAAAGGGCAUGCCUGUUCGAGCGUCAUUUGUACCCUCAAGCUUUGCUUGGUGUUGGGCGUCUUGUCUCCAGUCCGCUGGAGACUCGCCUUAAAGUCAUUGGCAGCCGGCCUACUGGUUUCGGAGCGCAGCACAAGUCACACUCUUUUCCAGCCAAGGUCAGUGUCCAACAAGCCUUUUUUCAACUUUUGACCUCGGAUCAGGUAGGGAUACCCGCUGAACUUAAGCAUAUCAAUAAGCGGAGGA
RNAcentral lists this unclassified non-coding RNA (338 nucleotides) under soil metagenome. RNAcentral's name for it is "partial contains 5.8S ribosomal RNA, internal transcribed spacer 2, and large subunit ribosomal RNA". The stretch from base 1 to 120 matches the Rfam family "5.8S ribosomal RNA", at positions 35 to 154 of the family's 154-position model. The record is from RNAcentral.